RNAcentral lists this ribosomal RNA (442 nucleotides) under uncultured bacterium. RNAcentral describes it as "partial 16S ribosomal RNA". It matches the Rfam family "Bacterial small subunit ribosomal RNA", at positions 338 to 795 of the family's 1533-position model. The record is from RNAcentral.
CCUACGGGGGGCAGCAGUAGGGAAUCUUUCACAAUGGGCGAAAGCCUGAUGGAGCAACGCCGCGUGCAGGAUGAAGGCCUUCGGGUUGUAAACUGCUUUUAUAAGCGAGAAAUAUGAUGGUAACUUAUGAAUAAGGAUCGGCUAACUACGUGCCAGCAGCCGCGGUCAUACGUAGGAUCCGAGCAUUAUCCGGAGUGACUGGGUGUAAAGAGUUGCGUAGGUGGCAUAAUAAGUAGCUAGUGAAAUCUGGUGGCUCAACCAUUCAGACUAUUAGCUAAACUGUUAAGCUCGAGACCGUUAGAGGUAAGUGGAAUUUCUAGUGUAGGAGUGAAAUCCGUAGAUAUUAGAAGGAACACCAAUAGCGUAGGCAGGUUGCUGGGACGGUUCUGACACUAAGGCACGAAAGCGUAGGGAGCAAACGGGAUUAGAUACCCGUGUAGUC